RNAcentral lists this long non-coding RNA (256 nucleotides) under Lathyrus oleraceus (garden pea). RNAcentral describes it as "Pisum sativum (pea) long non-coding RNA (PSAT_LNC026846)". Lineage: Eukaryota; Viridiplantae; Streptophyta; Magnoliopsida; Fabales; Fabaceae. The record is from RNAcentral.
AAGCCUCAAAAAUCAUGCAACAUGUUGGGAAUCAGCAUAUCAAAUUUCAUGGCAAUUGGACAAUGUAUGAGCAUUUCACAAUAGAAUUGGUACAACAUGUCACAUUUGCAUGCAUGUUCAAAUAAUCAAUCACAUUUAAAAUUCCAAAAAUGAUAAAAUCAUGAAAUCAGUAUCACAAAAUAAUAGACAUCCAAAUGAUCAUGUAGGAAAAAAUUGGAAGUGAUUUGGAUUCAUUUUCUAUUUGUUAUGAUUUUUU